CGGGGCUCAUUCUCAGUGCGGCUGCUUUUUUACUCGCGCUCUUGAUUGAGCUCUUUC
RNAcentral lists this non-coding RNA (57 nucleotides) under Daubentonia madagascariensis (aye-aye). The record is from RNAcentral. Lineage: Eukaryota; Metazoa; Chordata; Mammalia; Primates; Daubentoniidae.